GAAAAGCAGCCAGAUAUCUUUCAGAGAACCAGGAAUAAAAUCACCACACACAGGUUUCAAUUCAAGAGUCAACAAACAAAAUUGGAAAGAAAGGAAUUAUUAUUUGUUUUGAUGGUGAUGACUUGCAAAGAAAAGCUUCCUGUACAAUCCUUGAUUAAAACAUUUCUGAAAGCACUUUUUCAACACGUGAACAAUCAGGAUAACUACAGGAAAAACAGCACAGAGCACAAAGCUUUCCCACAAAUCCACUCUGGUCCAGAAAAAUCAACUACUGUGGUAUAAUUGGUGAAUACCACUUAUGUUACCCAGGUCAUUCAAAUAGAGGUUAAAUAAAUACGUCUAACUUCCAGUGGGGAAUAAAAUAUUUUAAAAUUAAGGCUAUUGUUGUUCCAUCAUUUUUUCUUUAAAGAAUCACAAAAAUUACUCAAAUAAUAGGAGUGAAAAAAACAUACCAAGUUGCUUCAGAAUGUCUGUGA
RNAcentral lists this unclassified non-coding RNA (476 nucleotides) under Hevea brasiliensis (rubber tree). Lineage: Eukaryota; Viridiplantae; Streptophyta; Magnoliopsida; Malpighiales; Euphorbiaceae. The record is from RNAcentral.